Long non-coding RNA from Amphiprion ocellaris (clown anemonefish), 255 nucleotides. RefSeq lists it as uncharacterized. The transcript is spliced from 3 exons. Lineage: Eukaryota; Metazoa; Chordata; Actinopteri; Pomacentridae. The record is from RefSeq and is a predicted model, not a curated record.
CUUUGUCUAAACAACGUUGUGCUCACGCAUCGUCGGAGAAAAGCUCUGAACAGCGACGUGUGUGUGUAUAUCGAGCUGGAGAGCAUGCUAGCUGAUGGCUAACACUUAAAUUAGCGCCCUUGGAACGGCGGAAUGAGUUUUCACGGUGCUUAUGGUACACGGUGCUGGUCGAGAGUGAAAAUAAUUCAACACCCGUUUGAAUCUCUCUGCGUCUUGCUGAGUGAAUCCAAGGGGCCGUUACAAUUUGUACUGAUG